GUGUAUUCUUCUUUUUGGUUUAUUCAGUUUUUUUUUUAUUUUCUUUUGCCUUGAUGUAAUCACCUAUUAUGAGUUGUCUUAAUCUAAUGAAUUUGAUUUUGUUUACAUACAUUUUCCUGUUUAUUUCGUUGGAUAUGUGACUGCGUCUGGCUAGUGGUUGUCCUCUCAUUCAGUCCCCUUGACUAUAGAUGCUGUUGUUUAUGAUUGGACGCACUGGUUAAGAUUAACAUCAGAACCAAGAGCACAUGAGCUUUGAACUCAUAGGUAUGAUAGAACAAGUCAGCUUAACCCGUCAUGGUGAGAUCAGAAAAAGCCAAACACUUAUCAUCAUAUGAGAGAUAUCAGGUAUGUCUUUAUCAAUCAUGGUUUGCGUAUGUUCUUUUUAUUAUUAGCUGUAUGAAUACACACACUGAGGCAUGUUUUUGUUUAUCACCUAGAGCCUUUCUAGCCAUCCCAUCUAUUAUUAUUAUCCAUUGUUUAACCCUGUUGAGCCUGUUAUUCAUUUGUUUCUGAUAUACCCGUUCUUCUCAAUCCAUGACCUUGUAACUAUCCUAUCCUGUUCAGAGUAUGUGAGGAUUAAUUUCAGCUCUACGUUUCUAUCUAAGUUUGGGGUUGCUGUUGGAAUAGCAACCUUUAAGUUUGGGGUAGCUUUGCAGUAAGUGAAUG
RNAcentral lists this long non-coding RNA (666 nucleotides) under Lathyrus oleraceus (garden pea). RNAcentral's name for it is "Pisum sativum (pea) long non-coding RNA (PSAT_LNC018708)". The record is from RNAcentral. Lineage: Eukaryota; Viridiplantae; Streptophyta; Magnoliopsida; Fabales; Fabaceae.